UGAGUAAUGCCUAGGAAUCUGCCUGGUAGUGGGGGAUAACGUUCGGAAACGGACGCUAAUACCGCAUACGUCCUACGGGAGAAAGCAGGGGACCUUCGGGCCUUGCGCUAUCAGAUGAGCCUAGGUCGGAUUAGCUAGUUGGUGAGGUAAUGGCUCACCAAGGCGACGAUCCGUAACUGGUCUGAGAGGAUGAUCAGUCACACUGGAACUGAGACACGGUCCAGACUCCUACGGGAGGCAGCAGUGGGGAAUAUUGGACAAUGGGCGAAAGCCUGAUCCAGCCAUGCCGCGUGUGUGAAGAAGGUCUUCGGAUUGUAAAGCACUUUAAGUUGGGAGGAAGGGCAGUUACCUAAUACGUGAUUGUUUUGACGUUACCGACAGAAUAAGCACCGGCUAACUCUGUGCCAGCAGCCGCGGUAAUACAGAGGGUGCAAGCGUUAAUCGGAAUUACUGGGCGUAAAGCGCGCGUAGGUGGUUAGUUAAGUUGGAUGUGAAAUCCCCGGGCUCAACCUGGGAACUGCAUUCAAAACUGACUGACUAGAGUAUGGUAGAGGGUGGUGGAAUUUCCUGUGUAGCGGUGAAAUGCGUAGAUAUAGG
Molecule: ribosomal RNA, 597 nt
Filed under: Pseudomonas veronii
Lineage: Bacteria; Pseudomonadati; Pseudomonadota; Gammaproteobacteria; Pseudomonadales; Pseudomonadaceae
Description: bacterial SSU rRNA
Rfam family: Bacterial small subunit ribosomal RNA
Source: RNAcentral